CGGGGCGUAGCGCAGUUUGGCAGCGCGCGGCGUUUGGGGCGCCGAGGUCGGCGGUUCGAAUCCGCCCGCCCCGA
This 74-nucleotide transfer RNA is filed under the name Actinomycetota bacterium. RNAcentral's name for it is "tRNA-Pro". It matches the Rfam family "tRNA". Rfam says of the family: Transfer RNA (tRNA) molecules are approximately 80 nucleotides in length. Their secondary structure includes four short double-helical elements and three loops (D, anti-codon, and T loops). The record is from RNAcentral. Lineage: Bacteria; Bacillati; Actinomycetota.